GCAGAGCCACCUCAGCCCUGUCACCCUGCGCGUGUCUCUGCCAUGCUUCCUUGGAUCCCUAUCUACCCCGUUUUGGGUGACAGGACGAGUUGGGCCAGUUACCAGCCUGAGUCGAAGCUGUUAAAGAGGCCAAGAAUUCCCAAGCUUUCCCAGGCAAACGGGGAAGAACACUGGGAUGCCUUUUCCUCCUCCUCUGUCCAUCUGCAGGCCAAGUGUGCAUCAGUCACAGGCAAACUCUGAAUUGAGCUUUGUGCAAGUCUCUGGAAAGAGACCCAAGAUCGUGUGAUGAGCAAAAGUGACAGUGCUGGAGGCAGCGACAUCUGCAGAGCCAGCCCCAUCCCUAUCUGCAGCAGAAUAUGUAUGGGGAUCCUUUAUGUGAACAAUCCACCCAGGGUAGAAUGGGGCUUUUGACAUCAGCUGAGACCCAGGCGGCCUUACAAUGAGAGGGCUGUUGGUCAAAGGAAGGACUGUUUAAUGAACUGAGAAUCUGAGGCCAGCUCUGGCCAUCUGCACUUGGAAUCAUUAGAGCAACUCUACUGUAACUGGCAACCUUGAAUAAUGCAGCAAAUUCAUAUUCCAAAAUUGUGAACUUUAAAAUUUUGUGUUUGUGUCUAUGAUGAAAAGCAUUAUAUAAACAUUUGAUACUACAAUUUUAUUAGUAAGGAAGGCUGAAAAAGUAUCUCUCUUUUGACUCUGAGGUCAAUAAUGAUAAUGGCUUUUCCCCUACACUGGGAUAGAAAUGUUCUGUCAAGGAUAUGAAAACACUUUAUGAAAAUGAAAUUCAUUAAAGCCCUUAAUAAUCAGGUAGGGAAGGCAGGUGCUCACAAUUGUCACCUGUUGGUGAGUGAACACCUUAGGCUCGGGGAGGACAAUGACUCAAG
This 881-nucleotide long non-coding RNA is filed under the name Homo sapiens (human). RNAcentral's name for it is "HSALNT0347153". The record is from RNAcentral. Lineage: Eukaryota; Metazoa; Chordata; Mammalia; Primates; Hominidae.